CAGGCUAUGGUACUGAGUUUAUGUCAUUUUCAAUUAUUCACUCAUUAUUGUAGUAUCAUUCACAAUGAUAUUACAACAAUCAUACUUAUUGAUAUCACCAAUAAGAUUGGACAAUAGUGACAAUCACUUAAAAUGACAUCUUUAAGAUUGAGAACAAGCUCGAUGAUUCCUAAUGUUAAGACUGAAACAGACUUUCAUGUCUUGC
Molecule: long non-coding RNA, 205 nt
Filed under: Elaeis guineensis (African oil palm)
Lineage: Eukaryota; Viridiplantae; Streptophyta; Magnoliopsida; Arecales; Arecaceae
Description: long non-coding RNA (EGUI_LNC053264)
Source: RNAcentral